UAGUCACCUGCGGAGAAUUAACGCCCAGAGUCGAAGUUGGCCCCCGAAGCUCUUCCGUNUCCCCCCCGGGCCUCCCGGGGAGGUUGCGGGCGGCGAGGGGUGCCUCCGGCCGCACGCCCAUUCUUGUCUACUGACCCGGUUGCCUCGGCGGGCCGCGCCUGCUGUGCUACAGCGGCCGUUCGGGGGGGACGCCUGAGGGGGACUCUUGUUUCCUAGGCCACGCCCCGGGCAGCGCUCGCCGGANGAUUACUCUGGAAAACACACUCUUGAAAGAACAUACCGUCUGAGCGAGCAACGCAAAUCAGUUAAAACUUUCAACAACGGAUCUCUUGGUUCCGGCAUCGAUGAAAGAACGCAGCGAAAUGCGAUAAGUAAUGUGAAUUGCAGAAUUCCGUGAAUCAUCGAAUCUUUGAACGCACAUUGCGCCCCCUGGCAUUCCGGGGGGCAUGCCUGUUCCAGCGUCAUUU
This 467-nucleotide unclassified non-coding RNA is filed under the name Microsporum ferrugineum. Its description in RNAcentral is "partial contains ITS1 and 5.8S rRNA". The stretch from base 310 to 464 matches the Rfam family "5.8S ribosomal RNA". Lineage: Eukaryota; Fungi; Ascomycota; Eurotiomycetes; Onygenales; Arthrodermataceae. The record is from RNAcentral.